AAAUUUAAUGCUUAUCUUGUUGACAACUUUGAAAUUUCAAUCAAAUAUAUUUGGUAGUUGAUACAGAUACGACAUUGUUAUGUGUUAAUUCAUACUUAAUUGAAUGUUAUACUCCAUCUUUUUAAUCAGUAAACUUUGAUGCGAGUCUGCUUUAGCACUUCAUUGAAUAAUACUCUCAUUUUUUUGAUUUAACACUCUAUCUUGGUUUCCAAAAGAGGAGCAGGAGGGCAAGGCCAGAGAAAUUGAUUGGCUUACUUUUACUUGUUUGGGAAGUAAAAGUGAUGUACUUCAUCUUUUCACUGUAGUUUUGAAGGGGUACCCGCUUUAGCUUUUGCUUCCUACCUGAGAAAAUUACCCUUAUAAAUCAUCAUCUAAAUGAUUAGUUACGUCAGGAGGCAAAAGUGCUUCAAUAUAACUAAUUGUAGAAAGGUAACUUCAGUUCUGGGCAUCCUAUUUCGGAAAUAGACACAACACUCGGCAGAGGAAUAGCUUGUAAAGGCAAAGUCACAAGCGUCUGGGCUUAUGCAUGCUAUAUGUUGAGUUAAAGGCUUAAUUUUCCAGCCUCCAAGGUUCUCGUUUCCUUUUUUGAUCAUGUUACGGUGAACCUUCAAAUGCACAGAGAGCGGACAGGAAAGAUAAGGGCCUUGCCCCAUGUGCUUCUUUCUCUUCCCAGGAAUGAAGAAUUUGAUUUAAAAUGCUUUCAUUAUCUUAAUUUUUUAUUUUGUAUAUGGAUACAUCAUGAAGAGCUCUUUCCACUUCUGCCACUCAAGCGAAGAAGUUUCAAGAAACGAAGUGACCAAGUGGGGCAGAAAAAGCAAGUCUUUAUGUGCUUCUUUCUCUUCCCAGGAAUGAAAAAUUUGAUUUACAAUGCUUUCUUUAUCUUAAUUUUUUAUUUUGUAUAUGGAUACAUCAUGAAGAGCUCUUUCCACUUCUGCCACUCAAGCAAAGAAGUUUCAAGAAACGAAGUGACCAAGUGGGGCAGAAAAAGCAAGUCUUCUAGAGAGCGUACCUUUAGUUCUGCUCUUUCUCUAUUCUAAAACUAAAAAUAGAACAAAGAGAAGAAGCAAAAUAUUAUUCUACAUACCCCUUCCAUCAGAUUAGAUUACUAAGUAUAAUUCAUUCAAAAAGAAUAAAGGAACUGGUUUAAGAACAGGCUCUUUAAAGUGAUCUGAUACCUUCUUCCCUUGGAAAAGUAAGAUUAUACAGGUAACAAGUGUUCAUAGGUACUUGAUUGCAAAAGGCCAAUUAACAGAUUUCUGAUAUGCCUGAGAUAUAUGACCUUCUCCGUCUUGGAAACUGGCUAAUCAAAAGGGGGCACUUUUUCCAUUUUGCUGUUUUGAAUUUUUCGCGCUCUUGUCUUAUCUUUAUUAUUGUGGUUUUAUGUUUAUGGAUAAUAUUAGGCAUUGGUAUUACACAGAUCUAUUAUUUAGGAAAAAUAAGAAAUAUCGAUAUUUCCAUGGCAGGAAUAGGGUAGUUGUAUUAAGAAAGAGAGCUAGGGAUUUGAUAAAGGUGAUAAACUAAGUUCUGGACCUGCCUUAGUCUCAAAUACCGAACAAGCUAGGGGCAUUACUAUAUGAAUGAGAUAUCAUCCUAGUUUCAUGACAAGCGAUAUCGCAAAUUCCUAAUAUGAGGUAACACUAUGCAGCUGAAUUCAUGAUGAUUGAAGAUAUUACGAGGGGUGAGGUAGACCAAAUAUUAGUUGGAUGGAUAUCAUCAAAACACUGCAUUCUCGGGACUCCAUGUGCACUGAGCUCAGUACACAAAACUGUGGAAGAUAAAAAUCUAUAUAGAUGAUGUGAAACUAAUCCUUAUUAACACACUAACCGGUCGUUUGGUAGGAGGUAUUAGGAAAAAUAAUGCAAGCAUUAGCUCUGUGCAUUACUAAUACCUUGUUUGGUACAUUUAGUAUGGUUAAAGACAAAAUUGUCCGUAAAUUCCCUUAAAGCUAGAGAAUAUGGAGACAUUUUUGUAAACAACUAUUUUUCUUAAAAAUUAUGCUAUGCAUUAUAAUUUUUAAUACACCACACCAAACAAUAGAUAAGAAAUAAUAUUUGCAUAAUUUGCUUGCAUUACUAACUCAUGCAUUAUUAAUCCCUGCAUUACUAAUACACCUUAUUCCGCAUUAUUUUUAUACACCCUACCAAACGACCCCUAACAGUUGGUCUAGUGCUUAUUAGGAGUCUUUUUUAGCUUGAUUAGAGAUUUGUAUGUUAUUUUAUAUGGAUAAGUGUGAAAUUUAAAGAACCCCUAGCUUCAGAGAACCUCUUAUUCGUCUUUAUAUUGACUAUAUGAAUAAAGUCGACCCAAAUAGAGCAUAAUAGAUGUGGAGAAUUUGUAUCGUCAAAUGAACUAGCUCUCUCAAUUUCCUGUUUCCUCCCUCAAAAAUUUUGAUAGAUUUUUCUUAGUGUUUCCUCUCUUAGAAAAGCAAGACCUUUGAAAAUGAGGAAGAGGCAACUGAGUAAAUAAGAAGGUUUGUGGUCAGUUAAUUGUUG
This 2492-nucleotide long non-coding RNA is filed under the name Nicotiana benthamiana. RNAcentral's name for it is "long non-coding RNA (NBEN_LNC021940)". Lineage: Eukaryota; Viridiplantae; Streptophyta; Magnoliopsida; Solanales; Solanaceae. The record is from RNAcentral.